This 568-nucleotide long non-coding RNA is filed under the name Monodelphis domestica (gray short-tailed opossum). RNAcentral describes it as "lncRNA (ENSMODG00000043388.1)". Lineage: Eukaryota; Metazoa; Chordata; Mammalia; Didelphimorphia; Didelphidae. The record is from RNAcentral.
GAAGGUCAAUUUCAUGAAUUUUUGAAACCAAAGCUACAAACUUAUUUGGACUCACGUGAAAGAAGGAUGCCUGAAAUGAUCUUGGGUCUUUGAUAAAUGUUUAUUGAAGAAAUGUCUGGGGUGAAGAGUAAUGGAAAGGAAGUCAAUGAUUCUUAAACAGAUCAGCAAUCAAGUGUGAUAGAUAUCCAGAGGGAUUCUCAGUUGUACUCAUUUCAAGUAGACAUCAAAGAUAACCUGGUUUCAAUGGUUAAAGGCUACAAAUUCAACUUCAUUUGUUGGGAAGUUUCCCUGAUGCUCAACCCAAGCCUGCCUCUCUGCACCUGCUCAAGGUCCCUGGCUCAGCUUCCUCUCCAAUCAGUCUUCACACAGCUGACAAAAGAAUCUUCCAAAGACACAAGGCACUCAUUUAUUAAAAAGUCUCAUUUGCUUCCCAAUCCUGAGAAAACAAAAUAAAGUGUCUUAUCUGGCAUUUAUUACCUCUCCAAUCUGACCCCUGCCUGCCUCUCCAGCCUUCUUUCAUGUCCUAAAGGUACUUUAUGUUGUAGUCAUUCCACAAUUGGAAUACUCU